UUUUGACCUCAGUUCAGACAAGGCUACCCGCCGAAUUUAAGCAUAUUACUAAGCGGAGGAAAAGAAAAUAACAAUGAUUCCCCUAGUAACGGCGAGCGAACCGGGAAGAGCCCAACUUGGAAAUCUGGAGGCUUGUCCUUCCGAAUUGUAGUCUAGAGUAGUGCCAUCUGCGGCUGGCCGGUCCCAAGUUCCCUGGAAAGGGACGUCAGAGAGGGUGAGAGCCCCGUCGAGGCCGGUUUAGUCGCUCCACGAUGCGCUUACAAGGAGUCGGGUUGUUUGGGAAUGCAGCCCUAAGCGGGAGGUAAAUUCCUUCUAAGGCUAAAUAUUGGCGAGAGACCGAUAGCGAACAAGUACCGCGAGGGAAAGAUGAAAAGACCUUUGAAAAGAGAGUUAAAAAGUACCUGAAAUUGUUGAGGGGGAAGCGAUUAAAACCAGCGGGUGCUCCCUAAGUAGGCUUUGCCACACGCUAGGGGCUGGUCAACGUGGGUUAGUCGGGGGGGACAUUACUCCUGACUGACCGAGGACUCGACGUUGGCGGAAUGGUUUUAAUCGGCCCGUCUAGAAACACGGACCAAGGAGUCUAA
Molecule: ribosomal RNA, 584 nt
Filed under: uncultured Micromonas
Lineage: Eukaryota; Viridiplantae; Chlorophyta; Mamiellophyceae; Mamiellales
Description: eukaryotic LSU rRNA
Rfam family: Eukaryotic large subunit ribosomal RNA
Source: RNAcentral